UCGGAACGUGCCCAAUCGUGGGGGAUAACGUAGCGAAAGCUACGCUAAUACCGCAUACGAUCUACGGAUGAAAGCAGGGGAUCGCAAGACCUUGCGCGAAUGGAGCGGCCGAUGGCAGAUUAGGUAGUUGGUGAGGUAAAGGCUCACCAAGCCUUCGAUCUGUAGCUGGUCUGAGAGGACGACCAGCCACACUGGGACUGAGACACGGCCCAG
This 213-nucleotide ribosomal RNA is filed under the name uncultured bacterium. RNAcentral describes it as "partial 16S ribosomal RNA". It matches the Rfam family "Bacterial small subunit ribosomal RNA", at positions 118 to 334 of the family's 1533-position model. The record is from RNAcentral.